Molecule: ribosomal RNA, 211 nt
Filed under: Avenzoaria phalaropi
Lineage: Eukaryota; Metazoa; Arthropoda; Arachnida; Sarcoptiformes; Avenzoariidae
Description: partial 16S ribosomal RNA
Source: RNAcentral
UAUGAAUGAAUUUACUAUGAAUUUUUUCUGAAUUUUUUCUGAAUUUAUAAUUUUGUUGAAAAUAACAAUAUAAUUCUUUAAGACUAAAAGACCCUAAAAUUUUUAUAAUUUGAUAAUUAUUUAGUUGGGGAAAUAAUUGAUGUAUAAAUAUUUUUAAUUUUUCUUUUAAAAGAACUUUUAUUAAAGAUGAGUUUGUUAAAAUACUCUAGGG